UCUGAUGCAAGAGCUUGCUAAU
This 22-nucleotide microRNA is filed under the name Monodelphis domestica (gray short-tailed opossum). Its description in RNAcentral is "mdo-miR-12306-3p". The record is from miRBase by way of RNAcentral. Lineage: Eukaryota; Metazoa; Chordata; Mammalia; Didelphimorphia; Didelphidae.